This 431-nucleotide ribosomal RNA is filed under the name uncultured bacterium. Its description in RNAcentral is "partial 16S ribosomal RNA". It matches the Rfam family "Bacterial small subunit ribosomal RNA", at positions 29 to 507 of the family's 1533-position model. The record is from RNAcentral.
AGCGAACGCUGGCGGCAGGCUUAACACAUGCAAGUCGAGCGCCCCGCAAGGGGAGCGGCAGACGGGAGAGUAACACGUGGGAACAUACCUUUUGGUUCGGAACAACUGAGUGAAACUUCAGCUAAUACCGGAUAAGCCCUUACGGGGAAAGAUUUAUCGCCGAAAGAUUGGCCCGCGUCUGAUUAGCUAGUUGGUGAGGUAACGGCUCACCAAGGCGACGAUCAGUAGCUGGGCUGAGAGGAUGAUCAGCCUCACUGGGACUGAGACACGGCCCAGACUCCUACGGGAGGCAGCAGUGGGGAAUAUUGGAAAAUGGGGGCAACCCUGAUCCAGCCAUGCCGCGUGAGUGAUGAAGGCCUUAGGGUUGUAAAGCUCUUUUGCCCGGGAAGAUAAUGACGGUACCGGGAGAAUAAGCCCCGGCUAACUUCGUG